AACGAACGCUGGCGGCAGGCUUAACACAUGCAAGUCGAACGGUAACAGGUCUUCGGAUGCUGACGAGUGGCGAACGGGUGAGUAAUACAUCGGAACGUGCCCGAGAGUGGGGGAUAACGAAGCGAAAGCUUUGCUAAUACCGCAUACGAUCUCAGGAUGAAAGCAGGGGACCGUAAGGCCUUGCGCUCACGGAGCGGCCGAUGGCAGAUUAGGUAGUUGGUGGGAUAAAAGCUUACCAAGCCGACGAUCUGUAGCUGGUCUGAGAGGACGACCAGCCACACUGGGACUGAGACACGGCCCAGACUCCUACGGGAGGCAGCAGUGGGGAAUUUUGGACAAUGGGCGCAAGCCUGAUCCAGCCAUGCCGCGUGCAGGAUGAAGGUCUUCGGGUUGUAAACUGCUUUUGUACGGAACGAAAAGACUCUGGUUAAUACCUGGGGUCCAUGACGGUACCGUAAGAAUAAGCACCGGCUAACUACGUG
This 482-nucleotide ribosomal RNA is filed under the name uncultured bacterium. Its description in RNAcentral is "bacterial SSU rRNA". It matches the Rfam family "Bacterial small subunit ribosomal RNA", at positions 29 to 507 of the family's 1533-position model. The record is from RNAcentral.